CCAGGGCUGGGGCCAAGAGGGGAGACCAGGGCUGGGGCCAAGAGGAGAGACCAGGGCUGGGGCCAAGCGGGGAGACCAGGGCUGGGGCCAAGCGGGGAGACCAGGGCUGGGGCCAAGAGGAGAGACCAGGGCUGGGGCCAAGAGGAGAGACCAGGGCUGGGGCCAAGAGGAGAGACCAGGGCUGGGGCCAAGAGGUGAGACCAGCGCUGGGGCCAAGAGGAGAGACCAGGGCUGGGGCCAAGAGGAGAGACCAGGGCUGGGGCCUAGAGGAGAGAGAGAGAGACCAGGGUUGGGGCCAAGAGGAGAGACCAGGGCUUGGGCCAAGAGGAGAGAGAGAGACACCAGGGCUGGGGCUAAGAGGAGAGACCAGGGCUGGGGCUACCAACCGUGCCAGCCUUGCCAGCUCUCUGCCAGUGCCUCGGGCUGUUCCUUCUGCAUGUGUCUGUGGGUGUAACAGGGAAAUCACUCUCUACUUCAGGAGAUCCCUGUAUGUUCCAGGCUGUUGGACGACCCCUCUUGGCUCCCCUGCCUGCUCUGCUCCGGUUAUAGAACAGUGUGAUUAUAAAGCAUGGUUUGGUCAGCCCACGCUAUAGUUAUAGCGUGUACAGUGAGCUGAAAAGGUAGUGGGACAAUGACACAUUUCUUGUUGUUUGUAAAAUGAUACAAUGACUAUGAGGUCAAAGGUCAGACUGUCAGCUUUAAUUUGAGGGUAUUUUCAUCCAUAUCAGGUGACCCGUUUAGAAAUUACAGCCCUUUUUGUACAUAGCCCCCCCCAUUUUAUGGGACCAAAAGUAUUGGGACAAAUUCACUGUGUUUUAAAGUAGCCAAGCGUUUAGUUUUUGGUCCCAUAUACCAAGCACACAAUCAGGGAAUGGGUAAAUGAGGACGGAGAGGGAGAAGGAAUGGGUAAAUGAGGACGGAGAGGGAGAAUGAAUGGGGAAAUGAGGACAGAGAGGGAGAAGGAAUGGGUAAAUGAGGACGGAGAGGGAGAAUGAAUGGGGAAAUGAGGACAGAGAGGGAGAGGAAAUGGGUAAAUGAGGACGGAGAGGGAGAAUGAAUGGGUAAAUGAGGACGGAGAGGGAGAAUGAAUGGGGAAAUGAGGACGGAGAGGGAGAAUGAAUGGGGAAAUGAGGACAGAGAGGGAGAAGGAAUGGGUAAAUGAGGACGGAGAGGGAGAAUGAAUGG
This is a long non-coding RNA of Oncorhynchus tshawytscha (Chinook salmon), 1185 nucleotides long. NCBI's taxonomy places the organism in Eukaryota, Metazoa, Chordata, Actinopteri, Salmoniformes, Salmonidae. The record is from Ensembl.